AAGAGACAGCAGCAGCCACGGGAAUACGUAGGUGGCAAGCGUUGUCCGGAAUUAUUGGGCGUAAAGCGCGCGCAGGCGGAUAGGUCAGUCUGUCUCAAAAGUUCGGGGCUUAACCCCGUGAUGGGAUGGAAACUGCCAAUCUAGAGUAUCGGAGAGGUAAGUGGAAUUCCUAGUGCAGCGGUGAAAUGCGUAGAUAUUAGGAAGAACACCAGUGGCGAAGGCGACUUUCUGGACGAAAACUGACGCUGAGGCGCGAAAGCCAGGGGAGCGAACAGGAUUAGAUACCCCAGUAGUCCCUGUCUCUUAUACC
Molecule: ribosomal RNA, 310 nt
Filed under: uncultured bacterium
Lineage: Bacteria
Description: partial 16S ribosomal RNA
Rfam family: Bacterial small subunit ribosomal RNA
Source: RNAcentral